AUCAGGAUGGCCAAGUGGUCUAAGGUACCAGACUCAAGCCCAGCUUCCUCUGCAUUGAGGAUUUUGGUCUCCAAAUGGAGGCGUGGGUUUGAACCCCACUUCUGACA
Molecule: transfer RNA, 107 nt
Filed under: Loxodonta africana (African savanna elephant)
Lineage: Eukaryota; Metazoa; Chordata; Mammalia; Proboscidea; Elephantidae
Rfam family: tRNA
About the family: Transfer RNA (tRNA) molecules are approximately 80 nucleotides in length. Their secondary structure includes four short double-helical elements and three loops (D, anti-codon, and T loops).
Source: Rfam by way of RNAcentral